UGCAUGUGAUGACCAGCCUCUUCCUGAUGACGCUGAGGGUUGAAACUGAUUUAAUGAGCCUGAUGC
Synchiropus splendidus (mandarinfish) is the source of this 66-nucleotide small nucleolar RNA. Lineage: Eukaryota; Metazoa; Chordata; Actinopteri; Syngnathiformes; Callionymidae. The record is from RefSeq and is a predicted model, not a curated record.